GUCUGUGGCCAUAUCAUGCUGAAUGCACCCAACCUCAUCUGAUCUUUGAAGCUAAGCAGGGUUGGUCCUGGUUAGUACUUGGAUGGGAGACAAAAUAAUCUGAGUACUAGCUGCUUCCAACG
Molecule: ribosomal RNA, 122 nt
Filed under: Microcebus murinus (gray mouse lemur)
Lineage: Eukaryota; Metazoa; Chordata; Mammalia; Primates; Cheirogaleidae
Source: RNAcentral